This 425-nucleotide ribosomal RNA is filed under the name uncultured bacterium. Its description in RNAcentral is "partial 16S ribosomal RNA". It matches the Rfam family "Bacterial small subunit ribosomal RNA", at positions 354 to 796 of the family's 1533-position model. The record is from RNAcentral.
GUGGGGAAUCUUGCGCAAUGGGCGAAAGCCUGACGCAGCCAUGCCGCGUGAAUGAUGAAGGUCUUAGGAUUGUAAAAUUCUUUCACCGGGGACGAUAAUGACGGUACCCGGAGAAGAAGCCCCGGCUAACUUCGUGCCAGCAGCCGCGGUAAUACGAAGGGGGCUAGCGUUGCUCGGAAUUACUGGGCGUAAAGGGCGCGUAGGCGGACAGUUUAGUCAGAGGUGAAAGCCCAGGGCUCAACCUUGGAAUUGCCUUUGAUACUGGCUGUCUUGAGUACGGGAGAGGUGAGUGGAACUCCGAGUGUAGAGGUGAAAUUCGUAGAUAUUCGGAAGAACACCAGUGGCGAAGGCGACUCACUGGCCCGUUACUGACGCUGAGGCGCGAAAGCGUGGGGAGCAAAAAGGAUUAGAAACCCCGGUAGUCC